UGGGGAAUUUUCCGCAAUGGGCGAAAGCCUGACGGAGCAAUACCGCGUGAGGGAUGAAGGCCUUUGGGUUGUAAACCUCUUUUAUCAAGGAGGAAGUUCUGACGUGUACUUGAUGAAUAAGCAUCGGCUAACUCCGUGCCAGCAGCCGCGGUAAGACGGAGGAUGCAAGUGUUAUCCGGAAUCACUGGGCGUAAAGCGUCUGUAGGUGGUUUCAAAAGUCCACUGUUAAAAAUUGAAGCUUAACUUCAAAGAUGCCGUGGAAACUUUGAAACUUGAGUAUGAUAGGGGUAGAGGGAAUUUCCAGUGGAGCGGUGAAAUGCGUAGAUAUUGGAAAGACCACCAAUGGCGAAGGCACUCUACUGGGCCAUUACUGACACUGAGAGACGAAAGCUAGGGGAGCAAAU
This 404-nucleotide ribosomal RNA is filed under the name uncultured bacterium. RNAcentral describes it as "bacterial SSU rRNA". It matches the Rfam family "Bacterial small subunit ribosomal RNA", at positions 355 to 773 of the family's 1533-position model. The record is from RNAcentral.